This 237-nucleotide unclassified non-coding RNA is filed under the name Hevea brasiliensis (rubber tree). The record is from RNAcentral. Lineage: Eukaryota; Viridiplantae; Streptophyta; Magnoliopsida; Malpighiales; Euphorbiaceae.
AAUUGUGGCUGGCUGUUCAUGUGCAAGCUUUGCAGAUGUUCUUGUGAUUGGAGAAAGCAAAGGGAAGGCACUUACUUCUUGUAAGCGAAGGAAGAACGCUGAUACUUAUUAUAUGUCACAAAUAUCUCAAGGUUAUGUGUUUUGGGCAUUUAUGAUAAUUUUUGGCUCUGUUGUCUAAUUAUGGUGAUCUUUGGUUUUCUGAUUCAUGGGUGCACGUAAAAGUUUCUCAUAUGUUGG